GGGCGGGUAGCUCAGUGGGGAGAGCAUCGGCCUUACAAGCCGGGGGUCCGCAGUUCGAGCCUGCGUCCGCCCACCA
RNAcentral lists this transfer RNA (76 nucleotides) under Pseudomonadota bacterium. RNAcentral describes it as "Proteobacteria bacterium (cold seep metagenome) tRNA-Val". It matches the Rfam family "tRNA". From Rfam's summary of the family: Transfer RNA (tRNA) molecules are approximately 80 nucleotides in length. The record is from RNAcentral. RNAcentral also lists the same sequence under 6 other names. Lineage: Bacteria; Pseudomonadati; Pseudomonadota.